UUAGCCAUGCUAGUUGCACGAGUUUAGACUCGUAGCAGAUAGCUCAGUAACACGUGGCCAAACUACCCUGUGGAUCCAAAUAACCUCGGGAAACUGAGGCUAAUCCGGAAUACGGUUCAUUACCUGGAGUGGUGUGAACUUGAAACGUUACGGCGCCAUAGGAUGUGGCUGCGGCCGAUUAGGUAGACGGUGGGGUAACGGCCCACCGUGCCCAUAAUCGGUACGGGUUGUGAGAGCAAGAGCCCGGAGACGGUAUCUGAGACAAGAUACCGGGCCCUACGGGGCGCAGCAGGCGCGAAACCUUUACACUGCACGAUAGUGCGAUAAGGGGACUCCGAGUGCGAGGGCAUACUAUCCUUCGUUUUUCCGAACCGUAGGGGGGUUGAAAAUUAGUGGUUGGCAAAAACCGGGGCCAGCCGCCGCGUAAUUACCGGCAGCACAAGGGAUGACCGCUAUUAUGGGCCUAAAGCGUCCGUAGCUGGCGCGCAAGUCUAUCGGGAAAUCUGUGUGCUUAACACAGAGGCGUCCGGUGGAAACUGUGUGGCUUGGGACCGGAAGAUCCGAAGGGGUACGUCCGGGGUAGGAGUGAAAUCCUAUAAUCCUAGACGGACCACCGGUGGCGAAAGCGCUUCUGAAAGACGGAUCCGACGGUGAGGGACGAAAGCUCGGGUCACGAACCGGAUUAGAUACCCGGGUAGUCCGAGCUGUAACCGAUGUCUGCUAAGUGUGGUACAGGCCACGAGCCUGUACUGAGCUGUAGGGAAGCCGUGAAGCAGACCGCCUGGGAAGUACGUCUGCAAGGAUGAAACUUAAAGGAAUUGGCGGGGGAGCACUACAACCGGAGGAGCCUGCGGUUUAAUUGGACUCAACGCCGGACAUCUCACCAGCAUCGACAAUGUGCAGUGAACGUCAGGUUGAUGACCUUACUGGAGCCAUUGAGAGGAGGUGCAUGGCCGCCGUCAGCUCGUACCGUGAGGCGUCCUGUUAAGUCAGGCAACGAGCGAGACCCGCGUUCCUAAUUGCCAGCAUCACCCUUGUGGUGGAUGGGUACAUUAGGGAGACUGCCAGUGCCAAACUGGAGGAAGGAACGGGCAACGGUAGGUCAGUAUGCCCCGAAUGUGCUGGGCGACACGCGGGCUACAAUGGCCAAGACAGUGGGAUGCAACCCCGAAAGGGGACGCUAAUCUCCGAAACUCGGUCGUAGUUCGGAUUGAGGGCUGAAACUCGCCCUCAUGAAGCUGGAUUCGGUAGUAAUCGCGCCUCAGAAGGGCGCGGUGAAUACGUCCCUGCUCCUUGCACACACCGCCCGUCAAAGCACCCGAGUGGGGUCCGGAUGAGGCCGAGGCAACGUCGGUCGAAUCUCCCUCCGCAAGG
RNAcentral lists this ribosomal RNA (1374 nucleotides) under archaeon BC9. RNAcentral's name for it is "16S ribosomal RNA". It matches the Rfam family "Archaeal small subunit ribosomal RNA". The record is from RNAcentral.